This 327-nucleotide unclassified non-coding RNA is filed under the name uncultured fungus. RNAcentral describes it as "partial contains small subunit ribosomal RNA, internal transcribed spacer 1, and 5.8S ribosomal RNA". The stretch from base 1 to 73 matches the Rfam family "Eukaryotic small subunit ribosomal RNA", at positions 1759 to 1831 of the family's 1831-position model. The record is from RNAcentral. Lineage: Eukaryota; Fungi.
GCAAACUUGGUCAUUUAGAGGAAGUAAAAGUCGUAACAAGGUUUCCGUAGGUGAACCUGCGGAAGGAUCAUUACAGCGCCUGCGGGACACUCCUCCACAAGGGGGGGUGCCCUGCGCCUGGCCACCCGUGUCUACUUGACCUCUGUUGCUUCGGCGGGCCCGUCCACCCAGGACCGCCGGGGGAGCGUACCCACGCGCCCCUGGCCAGCGCCCGCCGGGGGACCCCUUGAACUCGUGUGAAGCAGUGCCGUCUGAGUCGAUCGUGAAAAUGAAAACAAAACUUUCAACAACGGAUCUCUUGGUUCCGGCAUCGAUGAAGAACGCAGC